RNAcentral lists this long non-coding RNA (897 nucleotides) under Oryza brachyantha (malo sina). RNAcentral describes it as "long non-coding RNA (OBRA_LNC000878)". Lineage: Eukaryota; Viridiplantae; Streptophyta; Magnoliopsida; Poales; Poaceae. The record is from RNAcentral.
GCCAUUUAACUUUUUUUCUUAUAAAAGUAGAUGCACCACUGCACAAUCCGGCCGCCACGUACAGCCAGGACCACCCCCGCAGCGCGGCGUGAGUGAUACGUUUAGGGUGUGUUUAGUUCCAGGGAUAAAAUGGUUGAGAUAGAUCGUAACAAACCUAUUCGAACCCAUUCCUCAGGUUUGCCUCGUUCUCCCCUUCUCCCUCUCCUCCCUCAUCUGUACAUGGCGGCACCGGCGGGGGAGGGCGCAAGUGGCCAUGGCUGGCGGGGGAGGGCGCAGGUGGCGGCGGGGUUUGGCGCACGUGGCCGCCGAGGAGGGCGAAGGGUGGCGCCGGGGUUGGGCACAGGUGGCCGCCGGGGAGGAUUGCACACGAGGCUGAUUUUCUGGAUUUUGUGCUUGGUUCAGAUCUUGUGCUUGCUGUGAAUUUGUGCUUGAUGUAGAUUUUGAUGCAUAUUCAGAACAUGAAGCCUCUCUAAUUUUUGUUCACAUAUUGUUUUUUUCAGCAUCCCCAACAACUCAUCUAUCCCACUGAAAAUAGAGGAUAAAGACUACAAAUUAAGCUCCAAUAGAAUGGUCAUCCUCUCAUCUAUUUAUGGAUGUCAUCCAAAGAGAUAUAGAGGAUAUGAUACAUGGAUGAUCUGUUAGAGUACAACAAGAUAUGAAGGAUGAAAAUGUUUUAGAUGAUCAUCUAAAUGAAGAUAUAAAUGAUUAAAUUUAGAUGAGCUGUUGGGAUGCUCAUAGAGGCUGCUCUUGCUCUUUUAUGGAUGGAUGAGGAGCAUGCUUUUAAUUUUUUUCCGCACCAUGUAUUGUAGAUGUAUCGUGUCAUGGGAUAAAUGCUUUUAAUUUGUGUUGUAAUUGUAUGCAUUAUUUGUGGUUAUAGUUAAUGGUAAAGCGUAUCCA